Molecule: long non-coding RNA, 1985 nt
Filed under: Homarus americanus (American lobster)
Lineage: Eukaryota; Metazoa; Arthropoda; Malacostraca; Decapoda; Nephropidae
Description: uncharacterized LOC121879811, transcript variant X2
Source: RNAcentral
CAAGGUGAAGCUGGUCAAGGUGGCGUCUCGUUUAUUGUUGUUAAUUUGUUAGUAAAUGUUAAUUUGUGGUCCUUCCUCCCUCCCUCGUGUGUACGGCUCCAAUUGGUUGUUACUGUAGUGUUCAGACAACUACCAUAUUGCUGCCUCGCUGAUCAUGGUUAAUGAAGUUCCUCGUGUCAUUCGUCGAGGAAGGUGACGUGAAGAUGUAAGAUAUGGGCCACAAGACGAAGGUUUGUUUUGGUUAACGGGUCUCUUGCUGCACCACAUUGGAAACCUUCUGUUAUAACCUAGGUUUACGGCUCCAAUUGGUUGUUACUGUAGUGUUCAGACAACUACCAUAUUGCUGCCUCGCUGAUCGUGGUUAAUGAAGUUCCUCGUGUCAUUCGUCGAGGAAGGUGACGUGAAGAUGUAAGAUAUGGGCCACAAGACGAAGGUUUGUUUUGGUUAACGGGUCUCUUGCUGCACCACAUUGGAAACUUUCUGUUAUAACCUAGGGUACAGUACAGUGUAUAUCUUUGUGGUUUUAGUUUUUAUUAAGGAUCUGGGAUCACAGUUUAAAAAUUCAAGUAAUUGUGUUAAAGACCUUUGAAAUAAUUAGAUAUUUUAAGUAGAUUACGCUGUGCCCGUAAGUUUUAAAAGGCCUUUAUGGAUGGUCUUAAAUAUGUUGACCAUCUUUACUGUAUGAAGUUAGUUUCACGUUGUCAAAAUAUUUGUCAAAUAUUCCUGACCUAAUACCUUUGUCUUCAGCACUUGGGGUAAAAAAAUAGUUUAAAUAUCCUACAAAGGUACAGGGUACUACUUUACCUGAUUUUAAAUCUGGGUUCACAAAUUAGUUAUUAUGUUAAUGACUUUUUGAAACAAUUAGAUAUUUAAAGUAGAUUACUUAGGCUUUGCCCGUAUUUUUUAAAAGGCCUUCAUGUACGUUUUAUAAAUAACAUAGACUAUUGGGGUGUCAACUGCAUGGAAAAGCCAGGAAACUUUACAAACAAAUGGGGUAAUUUAUUUGGGUUAAGUUAUACUUAAAUAUAGUUUUUUGGCAUCAAUCUUGGGAUUAAAUUAAUGCUGUACUGUAUAAUAGGUAAAUAAUUACUGUACUUUUAGGAACAUUCCACAGCAAUAAUGAUGAUAGUUCAAGUUAGUGAUCAAAUAUUACAGGUUAUACCUACUGCUGUGAGUAUUGUCCAGUGAAUUGUUCUUAUAAUGGACUUGUUCCACAUUAAUAAAGGUUCAAAUAGGUGGAUAGUGGAGUGUUGACCCACGUCAGGUUAAGGUUGUCACCAGGGAGGGGUCACUAACAUAUCCUCACUGGUCCCUCCAUUAACCGACACAAUUAGUUCCACAGAGUCGUUCGUUUACUGAUUCUAUAUACUGUAGUGUUAUAUAUUAAUAAAAUAUUAAUAAAUAAACUUAAAAUAGUUCAACACAAAAUGUUAUUGUUUAAAUUUAUUUUAGUAAAAUUGUGAAUGUUGUAAAGCUAUUCGGUUCUCCAGCCACUGACUUAAGUUUAGUUUAAUAUUAAUAUAUAUCUAUUAGGGGGAAUUUAAUCAACAAUAAAACAUUAUAAUUAAAGUAUAAUUUAUUUAUAUUAUGUAUCAUUUAUAAAUAAAAUGCUUUUAUUAUAGUAUUAAUAAUGAAAACUUGUAGUUACUGAAAGAUAAGAGAGAGAAUCGGACAAGGUGAAGCUGGUCGACAUCAACCAAGGUGGCCGUCUCGUUUAUUGUUGUUAAUUUUGUGAGUAAAUGUUAAUUUGUGGGCCUUCCUCCCUCCCUCGUGGUAAAGGUAAUAAAUGUUUUAUGUUGUGUCGUUGAUAUAAACAUACAUUAGAAUGUUUGAGUUAAAGGUUGGUUAAACGAGAUGGUCCGUGUUGGUAUUUGCUGGGCCGAGUUGGAGGCACAGCGGUCACACUAUAAUAACCCGUUAUAGUACAUCCUUCUUUACUCACACAGCCAAACUGUGUCUGUGUGGAUGUGGGUCACACUAUAAUA